UCUUGUCAGAACGUUUGGGAGAAAGAGAAACAAUUGGUCGUCUCAAAACCUUCUUAACUGUACGCAUGGCAGACGAAGAAACAGUUGCUCGAGCCACAUCCUUUCUCUCAUCCAACAUAGAGGUCUUCUUUUCUUUAAUGCUUCUGAGUUUAUUUUGCUCUCGGCUACUUAAUGAUCUAGGUGGAUUCAACAAAGAAAGUCCCAUUUCGUUGUCUUUAUAGAGUCCAACACCGUCUUCUUUACUGCAUGAAUGCUGUUUAAUUGGCAGAGUAGACGACUUUGACAGCAUAGACUUUGGCUUUGGAACUACUUCCUUGAGAGGCAAUGAAUGCUGUUUUAACAAGACAGUCUCUCUCUUACACAGAGAUGACGUCUUAGUGAGAACAGAAAAAUCAGGUUUCUGGCAUUUGGACCCUGAAGAAGGCGUAAAACUGACUGCUAGUUUCAUUUUUCUCUCUGCUAAAGUUAGAGUCUUCCCAAUUUCCUGGCUUUUACCUUGCUUUUCCAUUCUUUUCCCCAUUACGGGACUAUUUGGUGUCUUUGUUUCAGGAUCCUGUCUUGUUCCAUAUUUACAAUUAUCAUGGCAAGAACCUGUUGAAGCUGCAAGAUAACGGGAAAGAAUCUUAACACUUUUGUAUGGGAUGCCAAUGUUCCCAGUAGAGAACCUUCUUAC
This 673-nucleotide long non-coding RNA is filed under the name Ricinus communis (castor bean). RNAcentral's name for it is "long non-coding RNA (RCOM_LNC000480)". Lineage: Eukaryota; Viridiplantae; Streptophyta; Magnoliopsida; Malpighiales; Euphorbiaceae. The record is from RNAcentral.